CUGGGCUGACAGUCGAGCGGGAAACCAGUCAAUCGAAACUUUUGAACUUCUUCUUCUCUCUCCGUAUUUUGGGAAGAACGAACUGCGAAAUCUGACUUCCAUUAGCACCAAUCGAAACUCUCUUCAUUUUUCCAGGUAACCAAUCAAACCACAAGUCCCACCGUUCCAUUUUUCCGGCGUUUUUUCUACCCUUUUCACCAAGUCCCAAACCCUAGGGUUCCAAACUUCCAAUUGAAACCCUCUCACCAUGCGGAAGGCUAUUUGAGAUGACUAAUCACAGAGAAGCGCCUCCGAAUAAGUUCCACACGGUCCAGGCAGAGCGCGACCUAGAAGCCAACUGGGAGGUAGAUCUCUCUAAGAGGCUUCAAGACUACCUCUUUAAGAUUUGCUCCGGUGAAAUAACCGCCGCCGAAGACUAUAACGCUAACGCCUCUGUUAAUUUCGCUGAAGCUGCUUUGCUGCUUCAAGGUUCGGUUCAGGUGUACAGCAGGAAGGUCGAGUAUUUAUACAACUUGGUCUUGCAUGCUUUGGAGUUUCUUUCUCAAAAGAGGCAGCAGGAGCAAUUGGAGGGCACAUCGGUUCAGGCUGAGCAAAGCGGUUCCCAUUCAGUUUCUGAUGAAGAAAAUGAUCAAUUUUGGUGCUUGGAUGAUGUCCCUGUGGAAGCAAGGAAUUCCUUAGAUGCUUCAACCAGUAAAGAUGCUUCUUUCUAUCACUUUGUGAAACCACCUGCAAAUCUUAUUGUUCUUGAAGGUGAUUGCUUAGAUGCCAGUGUUGAUGGCGGAGAAUUAGAGUCAUACCUGUUAGCCACCAAUGAUCUCUACAGGGAUUUUAUUCUUUUAGACCCAUGUGAUGCUGUUGCAGUGAAUGAUUUUUUGAAGGGACAUAAAAGUAGAAAUGGACCAAAUAGUAUUUAUAGGGGAAGCUCAAUUUGCAAGAGCUUUCUAUCCCCCACUAGAUGUUUGGGGGGAACUGCAUGCAAGUCAUCUCCUGGAAAGAAUCCGGAUGCAAAUCGCAACCAAACUCCUAUGGCUGAUUGCAUGGGGCCAAACCCUCCUGCCCAUGAUAAUUAUGGAGAUGGUAAUCAUGGAUUUGAUAUGGAUGACGCACAUUCAGAACCUAUGAACUUGGAGGAUUCAGAAGAUGAUGAAAAUAAUGAUGAUCCAUGGAAACCUUUAAAUCCCCAUGUGCCUGGGAACCUAAAAGCGAAACCUUUUAGAAAAGGUUGUUAAAGAACUUGAGACUCUUGUUUGUUUUGUUUACCUUUAUAAUUUCUUUGUUCACCUAAUUAUCACUUGUCUUGAAUUUGUCUUAACAAGCAGUAAAACCUUACAGAAGGAAUGUUGUAAAUUCUACCAAGCAGGAAUCUAUAAGUUCCCUAUUUCCACUUGCAAGGAUACGCGGCGCUAUCAGUCCUGAGCUCACAGAAAUAUGGGAAGCACAGCACAAAAGAUCUGAAAGAAACGCCCAGUCUCCUCCUUUAUAUGAAAAGGUAAUGGUUUCGGUGACGAUGUGUCUACCUGAACUUGUCUUGCGAUUAUUGCAUGAUUCCUGCUGCUUCUAUUGCAGCUAAGGCAAUCCCUCAGUGAUGGGGCUAACAACACUAAUGAAACGUUUGGUAAUUCUGAGAAUGACAAUGAAGGCAAUGGAUAUGAGGGUGGAAAUCCAGAUUUUGGACAGCCUAAUGAUGAGAUGCCAGAAAGUAUGUAUAUGGAUGAAGAUUUACCUCAACAUGAAAAGUAUGAUGAUAGCUCUGCUUAUUUUGACAACAAUGAAGCUAAUGGACAUGAAGAUCCGAGUUCUCAAGCAAGCCUAGAAGAUCUUUGUUACUCUCACCUAGUAAGCAUAAACUUGUUUGGCAUUUAGCUAAGGUCAUAAACUAAGUGGAUAUGAAUUGGAUUCAGAUAUUUUCUAAUUCUGUCUAUUAAAGGAGUCAUUAAAUGCAAUCUAAUCCAAUACUUUAA
This 1961-nucleotide unclassified non-coding RNA is filed under the name Hevea brasiliensis (rubber tree). Lineage: Eukaryota; Viridiplantae; Streptophyta; Magnoliopsida; Malpighiales; Euphorbiaceae. The record is from RNAcentral.